RNAcentral lists this long non-coding RNA (615 nucleotides) under Manihot esculenta (cassava). RNAcentral's name for it is "long non-coding RNA (MESC_LNC010143)". The record is from RNAcentral. Lineage: Eukaryota; Viridiplantae; Streptophyta; Magnoliopsida; Malpighiales; Euphorbiaceae.
CACGUUACAAGCAAAAUUAGUUUCUCAAAGAAGAAACUUUGGGCGGACGAAGGUUGACUUCCAUGGCAGGAGGACAGCAAAAUAAGCAAAUUUAUUCAUUUAUGUCAAUAUUAUUGCAAUUUUCAUCAAUAUGAGUUUCUCUCUCAGAUAAUAACUUACAGGAAAUCCCUUCAACUCGUCUGCUGUUGUUUCUUUUGCUUGCCGCAGUCGCAGCUCCGGCGGCCUUUCUUCUACGGGAAAGGAAAAUUGUGAAAACUACGGCAACCCUUUUGAUGUAGGUGAAGAGAGGACGAGUUCGAGGUCUGCCAUGGUCCUUGUUUGUGUUAGAAUUCUGUUUUCUUUGGCUUGAUGUGUUCUUCAUUUGCAGAGAUAGAUCUUUCUUUUGUGGAUUAUGUUCUUUGCUUAAACUUGGAAGCAAUUGGGGAUUUUGGUUGUUUCCAAAUCCAUGUCUUUAAUUCUAUUGAAUAUUUUUGCAGGACCAAUUCAAGCUGCAAGUGAAUUAGUGCUUGUCUUGAAGGGAAGAUUAUCAAAAGCGCCGGAAAUUUUUAUAUUAAAAUUGCCAAGUCAACGGAGUACCGUCUGAUGAAUAUACUAAUCUCGCAGUCCAGAAUCCAG